UACGCCCUACGGGGGGCAGCAGUGGGGGAUAUUGCACAAUGGGGGGAACCCUGAUGCAGCGACGCCGCGUGGGUGAAGGAGUGCUUCGGCAUGUAAAGCCCUAUCGGCAGGGAAGAAGCAAGACGGUACCUGACUAAGAAGCCCCGGCUAACUACGUGCCAGCAGCCGCGGUAAUACGUAGGGGGCGAGCGUUAUCCGGAUUCACUGGGUGUAAAGGGAGCGUAGACGGCCAUGCAAGCCAGGGGUGAAAGCCCGCGGCCCAACCGCGGGACUGCAUUGGGAACUACCGGGCUGGAGUGCCGGAG
This 305-nucleotide ribosomal RNA is filed under the name uncultured bacterium. RNAcentral's name for it is "bacterial SSU rRNA". It matches the Rfam family "Bacterial small subunit ribosomal RNA", at positions 334 to 654 of the family's 1533-position model. The record is from RNAcentral.